UACAGAGGUCCCAAGCGUUGUUCGGAUUCACUGGGCGUAAAGGGUGCGUAGGUGGUUCGUUAAGUCCUGUGUGAAAUCCCCCGGCUCAACUGGGGAACUGCACAGGAAACUAGCGGGCUUGAGUUCGGGAGAGGGAAGCGGAAUUCCGGGUGUAGCGGUGAAAUGCGUAGAUAUCAGGAGGAACACCUGCGGUGUAGACAGCUUUCUGGACCACUUCUGACGCUGAGACACGAAAGCGUGGGUAGCAAACAGG
This 253-nucleotide ribosomal RNA is filed under the name uncultured bacterium. RNAcentral's name for it is "partial 16S ribosomal RNA". It matches the Rfam family "Bacterial small subunit ribosomal RNA", at positions 524 to 776 of the family's 1533-position model. The record is from RNAcentral.